CUACCGCCCACACACACACUCAGAGAGAAAAGAGAGGAAGGGUGACCCCAGAACUCCUCGCAGCCUCCCUGCAGAUUGACUAAGAAAGUGUCCUUUGUAACAGGAGUUUCCUGCACGUAAUUAAAAGAUGUUGGGCCCUGCCCAGAAGGGAGGUGACGGGGCCCCGGGUUGCAGGAUAAGGGAGGUCCGGACAGAAGAUCAGCCAGUUCUCAGGGUCCAGGGCAGGUGGUUCUGAUUUGUGAGGGGCAAACAGUCCACAUCCAAGACCAGUAAAUGGCAGGACACGUGUCGUCACGUCCACUGGUGGAGACCUGCAGGUCACCAGUAAGAAUACACGGUCCAACUAUCCCACUCGUGAUGGGAUAAGUCAUUUUUCAGCCUAAACCUUUUCUCUUAUCCUGAGAUUGUCACUUGUGGCCGCAGUUAAACAUAACUAGUAUUAAAAUGAGCAGAUGCCUGAGUGGAGAAGGAAGUCAAAGUCCAAAGUAGUUUUGUUGCCAUACGUACAAUCACAUUUUUUCCGUGGUGAAAUGGUCAUUUCACGGAUUUCUGCAUCACGCAGCAGACACAGUUAAGGACUGGCGGGGUGAAUGUAGUGAAUAAUUUAUCUGUUAAACAGCCAAAUAUUUCCCCCCCGCAGACACCGAAAACACAGCUGAUUUAAUAUUUGACUUUUAAGUGUCAAAUAGAUGCAAACACAACCUGUCUAUGUUGCUCCGUAUCCCCUGGAUGUGUAAAUAGAAAACUUUAUGCUCACAUUCUCAUGACCAUACAUCAACUUAAAAAGGUGAUAAUGUGUCGAAGCAGCUCUGUUCCCUGAAGCUCUUAUGAGGUGUUCACGUUGUAAAAUGAAUGCACCAUUUGUUCUAGGAACCUGAAGUAGAUGAGCUUUAUACUUUUACUCUGUGAACUUUCAUUUUUGCCGCUGCAACAUGACUUUUCCAAAUGAAAACAGCCGUCUCCCACCAAUCGGGCCCGGAUAGAUUUCCAGACGAGGGGCGGGGGGGCAAACGCAGCAGCUUGCUGUGUCAGGUGUUUUCAGUCGGAGGUUUCAACACCGAUCAAAUGGCCACGCCGAAGCCUUCAAUGAUCCUGGAGCUUUCCCUGCUGUUGGGUCAUCUGCUCGGCUCCGCAUCACCUCCAGGGUUGGGCCCUACUGCCGGCCAGGCGGUCCCACACGCGGCCCUUUCCAUCAGCUUUGUAUUUAUUCGUCCCUCUGGCUCCCCCCUCGGCCUGCACGGGGUCUCUGUUCAGUCUGCC
Long non-coding RNA from Gasterosteus aculeatus aculeatus (three-spined stickleback), 1260 nucleotides. The record is from Ensembl. NCBI's taxonomy places the organism in Eukaryota, Metazoa, Chordata, Actinopteri, Perciformes, Gasterosteidae.